CAAGUCUGGUGCCAGCAGCCGCGGUAAUUCCAGCUCCAAUAGCGUAUAUUAAAAUUGUUGCAGUUAAAAAGCUCGUAGUUGAAUUUCUGCCGCCCCGCCGCGGCCCCCGGGCCCGACGUCGCGGCUUAUUUCGGCGACCUCGCGCCGCCGAAUGUUUACUUUGAGAAAAUUAGAGUGCUCAAAGCAGGCCCUUGCCUUGAAUACUUUAGCAUGGAAUAAUAAAGUAGGACUUUGGUUCUAUUUUGUUGGUUUAGCGCCAAAGUAAUGGUUAAUAGGAACAGUUGGGGGCAUUCGUAUUUAACUGUCAGAGGUGAAAUUCUUAGAUUUGUUAAAGACGAACCACUGCGAAAGCAUUUGCCAAGGAUGUUUUCAUUAAUCAAGAACGAAAGUUAGGGGAUCGAAGACGAUCAGAUACCGUCGUAGUCCUAACCAUAAAC
RNAcentral lists this ribosomal RNA (437 nucleotides) under Theileria mutans. RNAcentral's name for it is "SSU rRNA". It matches the Rfam family "Eukaryotic small subunit ribosomal RNA", at positions 556 to 1037 of the family's 1831-position model. The record is from RNAcentral. Lineage: Eukaryota; Apicomplexa; Aconoidasida; Piroplasmida; Theileriidae.